Non-coding RNA from Cinara cedri, 409 nucleotides. The record is from the annotation of a GenBank genome assembly. NCBI's taxonomy places the organism in Eukaryota, Metazoa, Arthropoda, Insecta, Hemiptera, Aphididae.
GUAGUUCUUUUGGGUGAAAUCCAUGUACAUUUAAGAUACACUGGAAAAAAAAAUGUAUACUAUAAUACAACACUUAAGUCAAAAAUGUUUUAUUACACAAACUUUUUAACACAGGAAAUGAACUAUUUUUGUUAUCUACAUUACAUUUGGAAAAACUAUUAAAAAAAAUAUAUUAACUGAAGCAUAUUUUAAAUAUAAUACAUACUUUAAUAUGGAUUAAAUACAUAUAAAUCCACAAAUAAAAAUAGUAAUUUCAAAUAAUAUACUUAAUGAUAUUAAUAUUAAUAUAGGUGUAAUAAAUCAAGGAAUUUUUUUAAAUUAAUUAGACAAUUAAAAAUGUAUCAAUAGUAUUUUUGUUAAUUAUACAUAAAAUAGUUGUUUUACAAUUUUAUAAUCAUUUUUUUUUUUU